AGCGAACGCUGGCGGCAGGCCUAACACAUGCAAGUCGAGCGGGUCCCUUCUGGGGCCAGCGGCGGACGGGUGAGUAACGCGUGGGAACGUGCCCAUCGGUUCGGAACAACUCCGGGAAACUGGAGCUAAUACCGGAUACGUGCGAGAGCAGAAAGGUUCAUCUGCCGAUGGAUCGGCCCGCGUCCGAUUAGCUUGUUGGGGGGGUAACGGCCCACCAAGGCGACGAUCGGUAGCUGGUCUGAGAGGAUGAUCAGCCACACUGGCACUGAGAUACGGGCCAGACUCCUACGGGAGGCAGCAGUAGGGAAUAUUGCGCAAUGGCCGACAGGCUGACGCAGCGACGCCGCGUGGAGGAUGAC
RNAcentral lists this ribosomal RNA (359 nucleotides) under uncultured Pseudomonadota bacterium. Its description in RNAcentral is "bacterial SSU rRNA". It matches the Rfam family "Bacterial small subunit ribosomal RNA", at positions 30 to 412 of the family's 1533-position model. Lineage: Bacteria; Pseudomonadati; Pseudomonadota. The record is from RNAcentral.